Lathyrus oleraceus (garden pea) is the source of this 1731-nucleotide long non-coding RNA. RefSeq lists it as uncharacterized. Lineage: Eukaryota; Viridiplantae; Streptophyta; Magnoliopsida; Fabales; Fabaceae. The record is from RefSeq and is a predicted model, not a curated record. The transcript is spliced from 8 exons.
CAAUAGGCUUUUGCAAUGGACAGGGGUACCGGCCCCUAUCUGCAAGGUUGCAGGGAGUAGUUUGUUUUAAAUGCUUAUUCUUUAAGAAAGAAAUAAAAUGAAACGGAAUACGAGAGAAAACGGUAACGGAACCCAGCAAUUCAUUCAUCGCCUUCACGCAACCCUCUCCCUCACUCUCGUCACUCUCAAAAAUUUCGCAACCCUCUCCCUCACUCUCGUCACUCUCCAGCGCUCAUACUAACCUCGCGAUACUACUCCCAAUCUCACUCUAAACGCAAAACCAUGGUUUUAAAGAGAAUCAAAUAAAAAGGCUCACCUUCGGCAGUGGUUCGGUAGUGACGGUGAGGCUCGGAUCUGCUUCCUUUACCUCAAAGCUUUCUCUUUGAAGUUCUUCUCCUUCGCCGUUUCCAUCUAAGUUUUUUUUUUCGCCGUUUUCGAAUUAGGGUUUUUCGUCCCCUUGGUCCGCCUCCGCUUCCCUCCUUUUAUAUCAACAACUUAGGGUUUUUUGAGCUGUCUCCAGGAAAUCCAAAAGGGCAUCUUCUGUAUUGCUUUAAGGCGCUCAGACUUUGGUCUGCCUUAUUUGGCGCUCGACAUGAAAACGUGAAGAUUGGUGAAAAUAGAAGCUCCAAUUAUCACAGGGGUUCUGGAUAGUGAUUUUGGGUUGAAAUUUCUUCAGUGGAAGCAUCGUGAUUUCCUGAUGAUGACUUCUAUCAGUCAUCAAAAAUUCACAGAGCCAACAUCACAUGAGUUGCUCCCCGCUUCCCACAUGAAAGGACUAGAAUUAAGAGAAAGAAGAGCUGGUACACAACAAGACCGAGGACUAAAGCACUGUUUUGGGAUAUUUUCAGGAUGAUCGGUUUGGUGAUUGAUUCCAAGGGUUUCUCGGUUCAAUUUUAUGUGUUGUGGAUUGCAACGGCAUCUCCAAGAAUUACUUCUGAUUGAAGGUUCAGAGUAGUCUUUGUUAACAUGGCGACUGCUAUGAUUACGUGCGGUGAAACCAUUAUCAAUACGCUUGGCUGGUUUUAUUGAAGGAUUACUGCUGCUAUAUAAGUAGUCCUUGCAGUUGGAUUGAUAAUGCCGGGACGCCGAGCCUUCCGCCUUUCUGAGCCUUCCGCCUUUCUGAGCUUUAAUCGCUAUGAGGAAUAUGAAAACAACUGCUAGAACACUAUCAAUGCUGGACCCCGAACCGUCAGACAUGAAUUUAGGAACUGAAGGUGUUGUGGAUGCCACUUAAGACCAAUUAGUAACAGAGCUGGCCGGGGAAUAUUAGAAGAAAGCUUGUUGACAAGUAUCAAACUUGAGAGACUAGAUUCACAGCUGCUGCUGCUACUAGUGUAUUAAUGCAUUUGGGCUGUUAUAUUUAAAUGCAAGUGGAUUGUUUGUGAGCUUGCUCCUAUGAUCAUGUUAACACACAAAAUGGUGGUGUCUUCCUUGUUAGAAAGCAAGUUGCAACAGUUCUGAACCGUUGGUCUCGUGGCAAGUUGUCGGGUGCUUCCAAGAGCUAGUGAGGAUGAAGAAGUUCCCGUCGUGAUUAGCGAGAUUGCAGGUAGCGUAUAGGAUGGUUAUGUUCAGCAUUGCAGAAACCUUUGUUAAAUUCAUUCAUCAGAAAGAUGCUUGCAUUGCCAUGUAUAUGAUAAAAGAAAUGUAUUUUAUGGGAGCUCCAGUCUACACAGUUCGCGAUAACUUUAUAAGCAAUAUAUAUAGCUUUCAUGGUCUCAGUAAAAUAUAUAA